GUUCGCGGUCGGCGAGCGCUGGGCACUGGCUCACGCCCCGGAGGCAGCCCCGUUCCAAAACGAAAGCAAUCACGUUUCACCCGGUUCAAACUCUUCGGGCCAGAUAAGCGAACCCCCUCCGUGAUUGCAGUCUCAGACUAAUUUGCCUAUGUAGCGGACGAGACAUUAGCCGAAUAAUUUAGUUUUAAUCGUCAUGCUACCGGACUAAGACUCCACCAGGUAAAUGCCACCCUGGCCCAAUCAGGGGCUCUUUCAAAACCGUUAAAAAAACAUGAUCAUUGUUAUUGGACAAAAUCAGAUAGUCCCGCCUCCAUUUAAAACUCCUUAUGCCGUUUUGUGCCUUCUGACCAACGUGAACGUGUGUUGGUCACGUGGUCGUGGGGUGGGGUCAACAGACAACAUGGAUUUCGAUUUGGCUUCAGCUGUAGGUAAAGAUGAUCAGGUGAAAAAGGAUGAUGCCUCUGGCCAGGAACAGAACGCCCUAUUUGGAUGGGGGAAGAAGAAGGACAAAGAUGGGGAUAAGUGUGUGUCCAAGGACAAAUCAAAGGACCAUGACAAAUCGAAGGACUGUAAGCACCAUGACAAAUCAAAGGACCAUAAGGAGGACAAAGACAAGUCUAAGGAACAUAAAGACAAGAAACAUGGUGACAAGAAGGACAAAGGUCAUAAGAAGAAGAAAGACAAGAAGCCAAAGGAGCAUAAGGACAAAGAUGAUGGGUCAUCAUCUUCCUCGUCCAGCAGCGAUGAGGAUGAAGGCAAGAAGAAGCAUCACUGAUUCUGGUGCUGUGAGGAAGUGCUACUGCCGGUGAACUCUUACAAUGUUUUGUACUGCAAUGUUGCAUGCAUGAUAUUUACUGUGUACUGUUUCCUUGUUGCUCCUGAUCAUGUUUUGAUGUGCCAGACUGUAAAGUAGUGGUUUUACAACCGAAUAUUAAAUAACCCAACAACCAGGAUAUAUGGUGAAUGUCAGACUUCUUUCCUCCCUCGUAAAAAGUCUAAUGUCCACCAGAAGGGGGAGGUGUUCUUCAUUGAAUGUUUAUUUAACCU
This 1047-nucleotide long non-coding RNA is filed under the name Salmo salar (Atlantic salmon). RNAcentral's name for it is "lncRNA (ENSSSAG00000081928.1)". The record is from RNAcentral. Lineage: Eukaryota; Metazoa; Chordata; Actinopteri; Salmoniformes; Salmonidae.